AUUCCAGCUCCAAUAGCGUAUAUUAAAGUUGUUGCAGUUAAAAAGCUCGUAGUUGGAUUUGUGGUUGGGUCCGUCGGUCCGGCACAUUGUGCGGGUACUUGAUGGACUCGUCCAUCCUUGGGUGGAAUCUGUGUGGCAUUAAGUUGUCGUGCAGGGGAUGCCCAUCGUUUACUGUGAAAAAAUUAGAGUGUUCAAAGCAGGCUUAUGCCGUUGAAUAUAUUAGCAUGGAAUAAUGAGAUAGGACCUUGGUACUAUUUUGUUGGUUUGCGCACCGAGGUAAUGAUUAAUAGGGACAGUCGGGGGCAUUUGUAUUCAAACGACAGAGGUGAAAUUCUUGGACCGUUUGAAGACGAACUACUGCGAAAGCAUUUGCCAAGAAUGUUUUCAUUA
Molecule: ribosomal RNA, 390 nt
Filed under: Bacillariophyta sp.
Lineage: Eukaryota; Bacillariophyta
Description: partial small subunit ribosomal RNA
Rfam family: Eukaryotic small subunit ribosomal RNA
Source: RNAcentral